Long non-coding RNA from Gossypium arboreum, 394 nucleotides. RefSeq lists it as uncharacterized. The record is from RefSeq and is a predicted model, not a curated record. NCBI's taxonomy places the organism in Eukaryota, Viridiplantae, Streptophyta, Magnoliopsida, Malvales, Malvaceae. The transcript has 3 exons.
CUAGCUUUAAAUCAACAAACCAAAGAUGAGUUUGUAUGGAUGCUAUAUGUGGAUUCGAGAAUUCAAGAAUGCAUCCCAGAUGGAUUUUUGGCCAAUCGUGUUCUAAUAACUAAGGAUCCUGCAACGGUUACCCUUCCGACAAGUUAAGUGUAGUUGGAAUCAUUCUUAUUCAUGGGUAAGUGGCUAAAUGCCAUAGAUUGAGGUUGUUUUAUGUAGAAGUUGUAAGGGUAGAAUGCCCUAGUUGCAUUUUGGUUGAAUACUUUAAUUGAGUAAGGGUCGAAUGCGUGUUUGGUUCUUGAGUGUUUUUUGUUUAAUUAGUUAAGUGGAUGUCAUGUAUAGGUUUCGGUUUGUUGCGGUAGUAAUAACAUCUCGGAAACACUCAGGUGUGUGUUCU